UACAGAGGUCCCAAGCGUUGUUCGGAUUCACUGGGCGUAAAGGGUGCGUAGGUGGUUGGGUAAGUUUGAUGUGAAAGCUCUGGGCUCAACCCAGAAAUGGCAUUGAAUACUAUCCGACUUGAGGAGUGGAGGGGGGACUGGAAUACUUGGUGUAGCAGUGAAAUGCGUAGAUAUCAAGUGGAACACCAGUGGCGAAGGCGAGUCCCUGGACACUUCCUGACACUGAGGCACGAAGGCUAGGGGAGCAAACAGG
Molecule: ribosomal RNA, 253 nt
Filed under: uncultured bacterium
Lineage: Bacteria
Description: partial 16S ribosomal RNA
Rfam family: Bacterial small subunit ribosomal RNA
Source: RNAcentral